This 375-nucleotide long non-coding RNA is filed under the name Bos indicus x Bos taurus (hybrid cattle). RNAcentral's name for it is "lncRNA (ENSBIXG00005020928.1)". The record is from RNAcentral. Lineage: Eukaryota; Metazoa; Chordata; Mammalia; Artiodactyla; Bovidae.
CGGGCUGGGAGAGACUCUGUACUCGGUCCCUGCCCUGUGGGUACGUGGUCAUGCAGCGGUGCAGGCAGCUGGUCUUCCACAGCUUGGGACAACACUGCUGUUCAACUGCUGAUGACAGAGCAGAGACCUGCAGUGCAUGACUUCUUAGGAAGCCUGUUCCCAUUUGGGAGCAAGAGGCUCCUGCUGCCCCUGGAUGAGGUGCAAAGAUGCUAUCAUGAGAUGUAUUUAAGGAUGCCAGGAGGAACUCUGGCUGAUCCAGUGUCUCCUUCAGAUGGGUUGUGAAGAUUAAAUGAAGUAAUGUGUUACUAUCUAAGAAGGAUCUGAUACAGUUUCAGGAACAAUAAAAAGAGUUUGAAAAAUGGUUGCUAUUAUGAU